UUACCAUUAAACGACUUUUAUUCUACACUUUAUUCCGUUUCCAUGUCUAUGAAUCUUAAUCAAAUCUCUGUCACAUGAUCGUGUAACUAUCUUUGUUAUAUUCCCGCUCUAAGGAAGGGAUGUUCUGUUUUGCCCCUGUUUGUCCGUACAUCCGUCUAUCCUUUUGUCCCAUAAAAUUUUCGUCGCAUUUUUAUAAGGCAUAAUAAAAUCAGACCUUCCUGAAAUUUGUGAUAUAGCUUCAUGUCACCAUGCUAUACCAUGUGUCCUUUCGAUUGAUGUGUUUGAGCUUUUGAUUUUUAUAUUUGAUAAGGGACUUUCAAUUUUGUAUUUUCCUUGGGGUUCAGUAUUUUUGUGAUUUUUACUUUAUUCAAUU
RNAcentral lists this long non-coding RNA (373 nucleotides) under Mytilus galloprovincialis (Mediterranean mussel). Lineage: Eukaryota; Metazoa; Mollusca; Bivalvia; Mytilida; Mytilidae. The record is from RNAcentral.